This 909-nucleotide ribosomal RNA is filed under the name Triticum aestivum (bread wheat). RNAcentral's name for it is "partial small subunit ribosomal RNA". The record is from RNAcentral. Lineage: Eukaryota; Viridiplantae; Streptophyta; Magnoliopsida; Poales; Poaceae.
GCCGCCGUCGCCGACACCCUCGCGCCCCUCACCGACGUCACCCACCUCUUCUACGUCGCCUGGGACCCCCGCCCGACGCACGGGGAGGGCCGCGAGGCCAACGGCGCCAUGCUCCGCAACGUCCUCUCCGCGCUCGUCCCCAACUGCCCCGGCCUGCUCCACGUCUGCCUCCAGACCGGCCGCAAGCACUACGUCGACCCGUUCGAGCCCCUCACCCACGUGCCCCUCGCGCUCCGCCCCUACUCCGAGGACCUCCCGCGCCUCGACUACCCCGACCUGGAGGACGUCCUCCUCGACGGGCUCGCCAGCAACAACCGCGUCACCUGGUCCGUGCACCGCCCCACCACCAUCUUCGGCUUCUCCCCGCGGAGCGCAAGAAACGUCCUCGCCAGUCUCUGCGUCUACGCUGCCAUCUGCGGCAAGGAGGGCCUCGUGCUGCGCUGGCCAGGAUCCCGCGUCGCCUGGGAGGGCUUCAGCGACGCCUCCGACGCGGAGCUCGUCGCCGAGCACGCACUCUGGGCGGCCAUGGAGCCCAGUGGCAAGAACGAACCCUUCAACUGCAGCAACGGGGACCUCUUCAAGUGGCAGCAGCUAUGGCCGAUCCUCGCCAACCAGUUCGGUGUGGCGUGGACGGGAUACGAGGGGGAGGACCAGCGCUUCAUGCUGGAGGAGGCCAUGGCCGGGAAGGAGGGCGUGUGGGCGGAGAUCGUCAACGACAACGGGCUCGUGGAGACCGAGCUCAACGACAUCACCAACUGGUUCUGCGUCGACGCCAUGGUCAACGUGGAGCGGGAGAACAUCGACACCAUGAACAAGAGCAAGGAGUAUGGAUUCUUCGGGUUCCGGAACACGGUGAGGUCCUUCAAUACCUGGAUCAACAAGAUGAAGGUUGACAAGAUUGUCCCCUGA